GAUGAACGCUGGCGGCGUGCCUAAUACAUGCAAGUCGAGCGAACAGACGAGGGGCUUGCUCCUCUGACGUUAGCGGCGGACGGGUGAGUAACACGUGGAUAACCUACCUAUAAGACUGGGAUAACUUCGGGAAACCGGAGCUAAUACCGGAUAAUAUAUUGAACCGCAUGGUUCAAUAGUGAAAGACGGUUUUGCUGUCACUUAUAGAUGGAUCCGCGCCGCAUUAGCUAGUUGGUAAGGUAACGGCCUACCAAGGCAACGAUGCGUAGCCGACCUGAGAGGGUGAUCGGCCGCACUGGAACUGAGACACGGUCCAGACUCCUACGGGAGGCAGCAGUAGGGAAUCUUCCGCAAUGGGCGAAAGCCUGACGGAGCAACGCCGCGUGAGUGAUGAAGGUCUUCGGAUCGUAAAACUCUGUUAUUAGGGAAGAACAAAUGUGUAAGUAACUAUGCACGUCUUGACGGUACCUAAUCAGAAAGCCACGGCUAACUACGUG
Molecule: ribosomal RNA, 497 nt
Filed under: uncultured bacterium
Lineage: Bacteria
Description: partial 16S ribosomal RNA
Rfam family: Bacterial small subunit ribosomal RNA
Source: RNAcentral